GACUCUCAGCAAUGGAUAUCUCGGCUCUCGCAUCGAUGAAGAACGUAGCGAAAUGCGAUACCUGGUGUGAAUUGCAAAAUCCCGUAAACCAUCGAGUCUUUGAACGCAUGUUACGCCCGAGGCCAUCCGGCUAAGGGCAUGCCUACCUAGGCAUCA
RNAcentral lists this ribosomal RNA (156 nucleotides) under Musa acuminata subsp. malaccensis (wild Malaysian banana). Its description in RNAcentral is "5.8S ribosomal RNA". It matches the Rfam family "5.8S ribosomal RNA". From Rfam's summary of the family: 5.8S ribosomal RNA (5.8S rRNA) is a component of the large subunit of the eukaryotic ribosome. Lineage: Eukaryota; Viridiplantae; Streptophyta; Magnoliopsida; Zingiberales; Musaceae. The record is from Rfam by way of RNAcentral.